RNAcentral lists this ribosomal RNA (628 nucleotides) under uncultured bacterium. Its description in RNAcentral is "bacterial SSU rRNA". It matches the Rfam family "Bacterial small subunit ribosomal RNA", at positions 244 to 862 of the family's 1533-position model. The record is from RNAcentral.
GCUGGUUGGUGGGGUAAUGGCCUACCAAGGCUACGAUGGUUAGCUGGUCUGAGAGGAUGAUCAGCCACACUGGAACUGAGACACGGUCCAGACUCCUACGGGAGGCAGCAGUGAGGAAUAUUGCGCAAUGGGGGCAACCCUGACGCAGCAACGCCGCGUGAGUGAGGAAGGUUUUCGGACCGUAAAGCUCUGUCGAGCGGGAAGAAAUGUAUCAUGGCUAAUAUCCAUGAUACUUGACGGUACCGCUAAAGGAAGCACCGGCUAACUCCGUGCCAGCAGCCGCGGUAAUACGGGGGGUGCGAGCGUUGUUCGGAAUUAUUGGGCGUAAAGAGCGUGUAGGCGGCUGGAUCAGUCAGAUGUGAAAUCCCUGGGCUUAACCCAGGACGUGCAUUUGAAACUGUCCAGCUUGAGUAGGGGAGAGGAAAGUGGAAUUCCUGGUGUAGAGGUGAAAUUCGUAGAUAUCAGGAGGAACACCGGUGGCGAAGGCGACUUUCUGGCCCUAUACUGACGCUGAGACGCGAGAGCGUGGGUAGCAAACAGGAUUAGAUACCCUGGUAGUCCACGCUGUAAACGAUGUUCACUAGGUGUUGGGGGUAUUGACCCUCUCAGUGCCGCAGCUAACGCAUUA